Molecule: ribosomal RNA, 460 nt
Filed under: uncultured bacterium
Lineage: Bacteria
Description: partial 16S ribosomal RNA
Rfam family: Bacterial small subunit ribosomal RNA
Source: RNAcentral
CCUACGGGAGGCAGCAGUGAGGAAUAUUGGGCAAUGGGCGCGAGCCUGAACCAGCCAAGUAGCGUGAAGGAUGACGGCCCUACGGGUGGUAAACUUCUUUUAUAAAGGAAUAAAGUGAGGCACGUGUGCAGUUGUGGAUGUACGUUAUGAAUAAGGAUCGGCUAACGCCGUGCGAGCAGCCGAGGUAAUACGGAGUAUCCGAGCGUUAUCCGGAUUUGUUGGGUUGAAAGGGAGCGUAGAGGGGUUGUUAAGUCAGUUGUGAAAGUUUGCGGCUCCACCGUAAAAUUGCAUUUGCUACUGGCAGCCUUGAGUACAGUUGAGGUCGGCGGAAUUCGUGGUGUAGCGGUGCACUGCUUAGAUCUCACGAAGCACUCCGAUUGCGACGGCAGCCUACUAAACUGCCACUGACAUUGAUGCUCGACCGUGUGGGUAUCAAACAGGAUUAGAUACCCCAGUAGUC